This is a non-coding RNA of Lactuca sativa (garden lettuce), 454 nucleotides long. The record is from RefSeq and is a predicted model, not a curated record. NCBI's taxonomy places the organism in Eukaryota, Viridiplantae, Streptophyta, Magnoliopsida, Asterales, Asteraceae.
AGGGGACUCGGCGAGUUGGUGCACGACUCGCCGAGUAGGGCCAUGGUCUUGGUCGCAGACGCGCGACUGGACUCGACGAGUCCAAUAAGGGACUCGGCGAGUCGACGCUGUUCAGCUGAACCCUAGCCGUUUCGAUUCUGAACCGUAUAUAAUGAUAUUAUGGCCGUCAUGUCGGGUCUUUUGGCCAAUUGAAGAUCCCCUGGGAGUGUGUGAGCAUCUGAAGCAAGAGAGAGGACUUGAGAAGGCUUGAAGAGAUUGUUAGACAAGGAGGAGCAAGGUGGUGAUCAAAGGAAUCGAGUACUGGAGGUUUGGAGACACAGGAAACACGUUUCCAGGGAACCUGCGGACUAGCGGAUUGUGUGCAAGUAGCUCGAAGAGGUUAUAGCCUGCGUACUACGAGGUACUAGUGAUGACCGUGGGAAGGCGCCGGCGUGACACGUACACACUGCCACUG